RNAcentral lists this ribosomal RNA (482 nucleotides) under uncultured bacterium. Its description in RNAcentral is "partial 16S ribosomal RNA". It matches the Rfam family "Bacterial small subunit ribosomal RNA", at positions 30 to 507 of the family's 1533-position model. The record is from RNAcentral.
AUUGAACGCUGGCGGCAUGCCUUACACAUGCAAGUCGAACGGUAACGGGCCUUCGGGUGCCGACGAGUGGCGAACGGGUGAGUAAUACAUCGGAACGUGCCCGAUCGUGGGGGAUAACGAGGCGAAAGCUUUGCUAAUACCGCAUACGAUCUACGGAUGAAAGCAGGGGACCGCAAGGCCUUGCGCGGACGGAGCGGCCGGUGGCAGAUUAGGUUGUUGGUGGGAUAAAAGCUUACCAAGCCGACGAUCUGUAGCUGGUCUGAGAGGAUGAUCAGCCACACUGGAACUGAGACACGGCCCAGACUCCUACGGGAGGCAGCAGUGGGGAAUUUUGGACAAUGGGCGCAAGCCUGAUCCAGCCAUGCCGCGUGCAGGAUGAAGGCCUUCGGGUUGUAAACUGCUUUUGUACGGAACGAAAAGCCUUCUUUUAAUACAGGAGGGUCAUGACGGUACCGUAAGAAUAAGCACCGGCUAACUACGUG